This 500-nucleotide ribosomal RNA is filed under the name uncultured bacterium. Its description in RNAcentral is "partial 16S ribosomal RNA". It matches the Rfam family "Bacterial small subunit ribosomal RNA", at positions 30 to 523 of the family's 1533-position model. The record is from RNAcentral.
AUUGAACGCUGGCGGCAUGCCUUACACAUGCAAGUCGAACGGCAGCACGGGAGCAAUCCUGGUGGCGAGUGGCGAACGGGUGAGUAAUAUAUCGGAACGUGCCCAGUCGUGGGGGAUAACGUAGCGAAAGCUACGCUAAUACCGCAUACGAUCUAUGGAUGAAAGCGGGGGAUCGCAAGACCUCGCGCGAUUGGAGCGGCCGAUAUCAGAUUAGGUAGUUGGUGAGGUGGAGGCUCACCAAGCCGACGAUCUGUAGCUGGUCUGAGAGGACGACCAGCCACACUGGGACUGAGACACGGCCCAGACUCCUACGGGAGGCAGCAGUGGGGAAUUUUGGACAAUGGGCGCAAGCCUGAUCCAGCAAUGCCGCGUGCAGGAUGAAGGCCUUCGGGUUGUAAACUGCUUUUGUACGGAACGAAACGGCGAGCUCUAAUACAGCUUGCUAAUGACGGUACCGUAAGAAUAAGCACCGGCUAACUACGUGCCAGCCGCCGCCGUAA